GACGAACGCUGGCGGCGUGCUUAACACAUGCAAGUCGAACGGAAAGGCCCUGCUUUUGUGGGGUGCUCGAGUGGCGAACGGGUGAGUAACACGGGAGUAACCUGCCCUUGACUUUGGGAUAACUUCAGGAAACUGGGGCUAAUACCGGAUAGGAGCGCCUGCUGCAUGGUGUGGGUUGGAAAGUUUCGGCGGUUGGGGAUGGACUCGCGGCUUAUCAGCUUGUUGGUGGGGUAGUGGCUUACCAAGGCUUUGACGGGUAGCCGGCCUGAGAGGGUGACCGGCCCCAUUGGGCCUGAGAUACGGCCCAGACUCCUACGGGAGGCAGCAGUGGGGAACAUUGCACAAUGGGCGGAAGCCUGAUGCAGCAACGCCGCGUGCGGGAUGACGGCCUUCGGGUUGUAACCCGCUUUCGCCUGUGACGAAGCGUGAGUGACGGUAAUGGGUAAAGAAGCACCGGCUAACUACGUG
RNAcentral lists this ribosomal RNA (468 nucleotides) under uncultured bacterium. Its description in RNAcentral is "partial 16S ribosomal RNA". It matches the Rfam family "Bacterial small subunit ribosomal RNA", at positions 28 to 507 of the family's 1533-position model. The record is from RNAcentral.